Molecule: non-coding RNA, 271 nt
Organism: Plutella xylostella (diamondback moth)
Lineage: Eukaryota; Metazoa; Arthropoda; Insecta; Lepidoptera; Plutellidae
Source: RefSeq, a predicted model, not a curated record
AUAGGUAGAACAUAUCCGAUGGCGGCGGCCAGUGUGGUGCGGAGACUGGCGUGGCGCGGCCAUGCACACCAAUCAAUGUAAACUUUUCAUGAAACACGGUCGUGGGCAGAGAGCAAGUUAUCGAGAGCGACUAACAAUACGACUCUACAUUGCACAAUUAUCGUCAGUCAUCAGGAUAAUUUUACGCUUCACGCUGCCUUUUCCUUCAAUCGUCAUUAAAUGAAUAUAAAAGUACACCGUGUACCUACCUACUGUGUAACUGUGAUUAAAA